RNAcentral lists this ribosomal RNA (245 nucleotides) under uncultured Sphingobacteriales bacterium. Its description in RNAcentral is "partial 16S ribosomal RNA". It matches the Rfam family "Bacterial small subunit ribosomal RNA", at positions 524 to 768 of the family's 1533-position model. Lineage: Bacteria; Pseudomonadati; Bacteroidota; Sphingobacteriia; Sphingobacteriales. The record is from RNAcentral.
UACGGAGGAUGCAAGCGUUAUCCGGAUUUAUUGGGUUUAAAGGGUGCGCAGGCGGCGCGUUAAGUCAGCGGUGAAAUGUCCGGGCUCAACCUGGGCAGUGCCGUUGAUACUGGCGUGCUAGAGUACAGACGGCGCCGGCGGAAUGUGUCAUGUAGCGGUGAAAUGCUUAGAUAUGCCACAGAACACCGAUCGCGAAGGCAGCUGGCGAGGCUGGGACUGACGCUCAGGCACGAAAGCGUGGGGAU